Molecule: long non-coding RNA, 2275 nt
Filed under: Salmo salar (Atlantic salmon)
Lineage: Eukaryota; Metazoa; Chordata; Actinopteri; Salmoniformes; Salmonidae
Description: lncRNA (ENSSSAG00000114568.1, ENSSSAG00020051513.1)
Source: RNAcentral
UUUACAUAAGUAUUCAGACCCUUUGCUAUGAGACUUGAAAGUUAGCUCAGGUGCAUCUUGUUACCAUUGACCAUCCUUGAGAUGUUUCUACAACUUGAUUGGAGUCCACCUGUUGUAAAUUCCAUUGAUUGGACAUGAUUUGGAAAGGGACACACCUAUAUUUAUUAGGUCCCACAGUUGACAAUGCAUGUCAGAGCAAAAACCAAGCCAUGGGGUUGAAGGAAUUGUCCGUAGAGCUCCGAGACAGAAUUGUGUCGCGACACAGAUCUGGGGAAGAGUACCAAAACAUUUCUUCAGCAUUGAAGGUCCCCAAGAACACAGUGGCCUCCAUCAUUCUUAAAUGGAAGAAGUUUGAAAUCACCAAGAUUUUUCAUAGAGAUGGCCAAACUGAGCAAUCGGGGAAGUGCUUUGGUCAGGGAGGUGACCAAGAACCCGAUGGUCACUCUGACAGAGCUCUAGAGUUCCUCUGUAGAGAUGGGAGAACCUUCCAGAAGGACAACCAUCUCCGCAGCACUCCACCAAUCAGGCCUUUAUGGUAGAGUGGCCAAACGGAAGCCACCCCUCAGUAAAAGGCACAUGACAGCCCGCUUGGAGUUUGCCAAAAGGCACCUUAAGACUCUCAGACCAUGAGAAACAAGAUUCUCUGGUCUGAUGAAACCAAGAAUGAUCUCUUUGGCCUGAAUUCCAAGUGUCACGUCUGGAGGAAACCUGGCACCAUCCCUAAAGUGAAGCAUGGUGGUGGCAGCAUCAUUCUGUGGGGAUGUUUUUCAGCGGCAGAGACUGGGAGACUAGUCAGGAUCGAGGCAAAGAUGAACAGAGCAAUGUACAGAGAGAUCCUUGAUGAAAACAUUCACCUUCCAACAGGACAACGACCCUAAGCACACAGCCAAGACAACGUUGGAGUGGCUCCGGGACAAGUCUCUGAAUGUCCUUGAGGGGCCCAGCCAGAGCCCGGAAUUGAACCUGAUCAAACAUCUCUGGAGAGACCUGAGAAUAGCUGUGCAGCGACGCUCCCCAUCCAACCUGACAGAGCUUGAGAGGAUCUGCAAUGAAUAAUGGGAGAAACAACCCCAAAUACAGUUGUAAACGGUCUGAAUAGUUAUGUAAAUGUAAUAUUUCCGUAAAAAAAGAAAAGAUUUAUCAAACAUUUCUAAAAACCUGUUUUGCUUUGUCAUUAUGGGGUAUUGUGUGUAGAUUGAUGAGGGGAGAAAACUAUUUAAUGCAUUUUAGAAUUAGGCUGUAACAUAACAACACGUGGAAAAAGUCAAAGGGUCUGAAUACUUUCGAAGGCACUGUAUAUAUCGUGUGGUUUCUUUUGCAAACUUUGAUAAUUCCAUGCACAGCAUAGCUUCAUUGAACAUGUACAUGAAUAAGCUCUAAGAAAGUGUGCUUUCUGAACAUGAUUAAUCAAACUCUAUCAAUUACAGUCAAUUACAUUUAAUUACAGUUAUCAAGAGAUCAUGAUUAUUGGAUUAAACCCACUCACAUUAACUAAUCCAAUCCUAUCUCUUCCUCUUAAUCCUCCCAAUCAGGAAAGCAGUUACAAUUUACAUAAUUUCUGUAGGAUAAUGGUCAAAUCAAUCUAUCUGUUUAUUAGUGAUAUGUCCUAAUACACUGAUCUCAAGUGAUUAGUCAACAGGUGCCUCACUGGAAAAGGGAUCGGUGUCUGUAACCACUGAGCAAACUCAAUGGCUGAAUCUUCAACUACUUUCUAUGGUCUGUCUAUUUUCCACCACCAUGGAAAUUGAUUUGUGUUAUUCUACCAGAGUUCUCUCUUCUUUCAUAUUUUGUGAUGACUUGAAACAUGGUAUGUACAAUGUAAAAUACAUUUGUGUUUGAAAUUCAUCAUUUAAUGGACCUACCUCACUGCCACCAAUGCAAUGUUGAUACUACGCCCACCUCCUAAUUACUGUGGAUUUGCUCUGCUUGGGGAAUUGGAAUGGGAUCCUCCAAGGCUCCUGCUGUGUGUCUGGGUGAUAAAUAUCCACAGCAUGUAAUAUAAUCACAACAAUAUUAAAAGAAUGUCAUGUUGACUGUGCCAGGUAAAAUUCUGUGAAUAAUUGUAACGUUAUGAUACGUAUGCUUUUCAGACCUGGGUUCUGUGUAUGUGAUUGUGUUAUUUAAAUACUUAUUUUCUGUGUAAUGGAGUAUUUUCAAAUAAUGUGGCCCGAAUCAACUAUUUCUAUUAGAAGUAUUUCAAAGUAUUUUCAUUUUUUUUCUAUUAAUAACCUAUUAAUUUCAAAUAAUAUUUUCAAAUGCCUGGGUUAAAUACAUA